CCUACGGGCGGCAGCAGUGGGGAAUAUUAGACAAUGGGGGGAACCCUGAUCCAGCCAUGCCGCGUGUGUGAAGAAGGCCCUCGGGUUGUAAAGCACUUUCAGUGAGGAAGAACGCCUGGUGGUUAAUACCCAUCAGGAAAGACAUCACUCACAGAAGAAGCACCGGCUAACUCCGUGCCAGCAGCCGCGGUAAUACGGAGGGUGCGAGCGUUAAUCGGAAUUACUGGGCGUAAAGCGCGCGUAGGUGGCUUGAUAAGCCGGUUGUGAAAGCCCCGGGCUCAACCUGGGAACGGCAUCCGGAACUGUCAAGCUAGAGUGCAGGAGAGGAAGGUAGAAUUCCCGGUGUAGCGGUGAAAUGCGUAGAGAUCGGGAGGAAUACCAGUGGCGAAGGCGGCCUUCUGGACUGACACUGACACUGAGGUGCGAAAGCGUGGGUAGCAAACAGGAUUAGAUACCCGAGUAGUC
Molecule: ribosomal RNA, 465 nt
Filed under: Vreelandella stevensii
Lineage: Bacteria; Pseudomonadati; Pseudomonadota; Gammaproteobacteria; Oceanospirillales; Halomonadaceae
Description: partial 16S ribosomal RNA
Rfam family: Bacterial small subunit ribosomal RNA
Source: RNAcentral